This 24-nucleotide small nuclear RNA is filed under the name Arabidopsis thaliana (thale cress). RNAcentral's name for it is "snRNA_10296". The record is from RNAcentral. Lineage: Eukaryota; Viridiplantae; Streptophyta; Magnoliopsida; Brassicales; Brassicaceae.
AUCCGAAACUCAAUGGGAUCAACA